GACGAACGCUGGCGGCGUGCUUAACACAUGCAAGUCGAACGGAAAGGCCCUGCUUUUGUGGGGGGCUCGAGUGGCGAACGGGUGAGUAACACGUGAGUAACCUGCCCUUGACUUUGGGAUAACUUCAGGAAACUGGGGCUAAUACCGGAUAGGAGCUCCUGCUGCAUGGUGGGGGUUGGAAAGUUUCGUCGGUUGGGGAUGGACUCGCGGCUUAUCAGCUUGUUGGUGGGGUAGUGGCUUACCAAGGCUUUGACGGGUAGCCGGCCUGAGAGGGUGACCGGCCACAUUGGGACUGAGAUACGGCCCAGACUCCUACGGGAGGCAGCAGUGGGGAAUAUUGCACAAUGGGCGGAAGCCUGAUGCAGCAACGCCGCGUGCGGGAUGACGGCCUUCGGGUUGUAAACCGCUUUCGCCUGUGACGAAGCGUGAGUGACGGUAAUGGGUAAAGAAGCACCGGCUAACUACGUG
RNAcentral lists this ribosomal RNA (468 nucleotides) under uncultured bacterium. RNAcentral describes it as "partial 16S ribosomal RNA". It matches the Rfam family "Bacterial small subunit ribosomal RNA", at positions 28 to 507 of the family's 1533-position model. The record is from RNAcentral.